AUUGAACGCUGGCGGCAUGCUUUACACAUGCAAGUCGAACGGUAACAGGCCUUCGGGUUCUGACGAGUGGCGAACGGGUGAGUAAUGCAUCGGAACGUGCCCAGAGGUGGGGGAUAACGCAGCGAAAGCUGUGCUAAUACCGCAUGUGAUCUGAGGAUGAAAGCGGGGGACCAGGCAGCAAUGUUUGGCCUCGCGCCUUUGGAGCGGCCGAUGUCAGAUUAGGUAGUUGGUGGGGUAAAGGCCUACCAAGCCGACGAUCUGUAGCUGGUCUGAGAGGACGAUCAGCCACACUGGGACUGAGACACGGACCAGACUCCUACGGGAGGCAGCAGUGGGGAAUUUUGGACAAUGGGCGCAAGCCUGAUCCAGCAAUGCCGCGUGCGGGAAGAAGGCCUUCGGGUUGUAAACCGCUUUUGUACGGAACGAAAAGGCUCUGGCUAAUACCUGGGGCUGAUGACGGUACCGUAAGAAUAAGCACCGGCUAACUACGUG
This 492-nucleotide ribosomal RNA is filed under the name uncultured bacterium. RNAcentral describes it as "partial 16S ribosomal RNA". It matches the Rfam family "Bacterial small subunit ribosomal RNA", at positions 30 to 507 of the family's 1533-position model. The record is from RNAcentral.